RNAcentral lists this ribosomal RNA (498 nucleotides) under uncultured bacterium. Its description in RNAcentral is "partial 16S ribosomal RNA". It matches the Rfam family "Bacterial small subunit ribosomal RNA", at positions 28 to 507 of the family's 1533-position model. The record is from RNAcentral.
GACGAACGCUGGCGGCGUGCCUAAUACAUGCAAGUCGAGCGGACGGAUGGGAGCUUGCUCCCAGACCGUCAGCGGCGGACGGGUGAGUAACACGUGGGCAACCUGCCUGUAAGACUGGGAUAACUCCGGGAAACCGGGGCUAAUACCGGAUAACUCUUUCCCUCACAUGAGGGAAAGCUGAAAGAUGGCAUCUCGCUAUCACUUACAGAUGGGCCCGCGGCGCAUUAGCUAGUUGGUGAGGUAACGGCUCACCAAGGCGACGAUGCGUAGCCGACCUGAGAGGGUGAUCGGCAACACUGGGACUGAGACACGGCCCAGACUCCUACGGGAGGCAGCAGUAGGGAAUCUUCCGCAAUGGACGAAAGUCUGACGGAGCAACGCCGCGUGAGUGAUGAAGGUUUUCGGAUCGUAAAACUCUGUUGUCAGGGAAGAACAAGUACCGGAGUAACUGCCGGUACCUUGACGGUACCUGACCAGAAAGCCACGGCUAACUACGUG